ACGUUUCGAACGCCACUCCAUUAACGUUGGUUUAACGGCCACGCGCUGCGGGAAGGCGCCUUAACGCAGCCCUGUUGUGCUGCAAUUGCUGGCUCCCAGCCAAAUAAGUUAACGGGACUACUGUACUGAAAAGCGUUGGGCUAGGCGGGGGCGGACAACGGAAAAGUAACGGCUCCUUCCCCGUUCGACAGCGUAGCGUAGCCAGCAAAGGUGGUGUAUGGCUCAAACUAUUUAAGAUGUAUUUAUUUUAUAGCGACCUUCCAGAUUCCCCCCCCCAAAAAAACCCCUCUCAUCCGUCUUAACCAUUGGUUUGGUGGGAGUUGGAUGUCCAAAAGAAGCUGGAGGGUCUCAAGCUGAGAGAAUACUUCAGGCAUUGCAGAAACUUCCAGCUCCAGGCAAUGGGUUCAUAGGCAACUUCUUCAGUGAAACUUGCUUGUAAAAGCUGACCAGGCUUCUGUGGCACCGAGUUCAUGUGUUUAAACCAUUCAUUGAAGGCUUCAUGGGCUUCCUAAAUUGGAUUGGAAAUGUUUAGUCAUUUUCAUGUAGUUAUUCUAAUGACACUGCAGUUACAAAGACCAUCCAUAAGCUAUUUGUACGAACAAUGGUCAUCCUUGUGAAGGUGUGCUAAAAAUAGCCAAAAUAUUUCCGCCAACGGUUUGCUGUUUGUGUUUCCAUUUUAAGAAAUGAAAACUGCUCUAGUAAUUUUAGAGCUUAUUGUAGAUGAUAUAUUGCAUCUAAAGACUUACCUGAAUGUAAGUUUUCAAAACGUCCACCGAUACUUCCUCCUUAAUGGAAAAAGUUACUAGGUUUAAUAACAUUACUUAAGAAUGUCAAUUAAAAUUCCAAGUCACUGUUACCUUUCUAUACUAUCUGAAAAUCGCUAGUUACAUCCAGUUCUCUUUAAGGCACGUGACUGAGUCUAGAUGGCAAACAAACGAGUUACAGUUGAGCAUUGACAGAUAUCAAGCAUUCCAUAACAGGUGACACUAUUCUUAUCAUGUGAUAUUUGAUUCAGUCAUUCCAUAUUAAUACCUCUGGGAAGUAGAAUAGCUUUGCAGCAUCAGCAAAAACUGGAAAUUUGUUACAUUACAACUGGAGUUUUGUUAUAUUAACUUUGCACGUUUCAGGGAUAGACAGAGAAUGAAGACUAUGAGGAUAUUGAAGUUAACUCACAGACAAGAAAGGCUUUAGUUCUUUUAUGGUAUUUACUUGUACAACAGAACCCGAUUUUCCCUUAAUCAGCAGGUUACUCCUGCUGUAGAGGUACAGAUAUUGUUUGCUUACAUAGAAAUACAUCUCUUUUUUACCAUUCCGUCAUUCUAUAUAUACGCAAAAUGUUAUGGGUUUCUUGCUUAGCCCAAACUUUGCUUGAAAGGAAACCAUUUAACUAGACAAAAACAACUGACAAAUUAUAUUAUGGUGGAAAAAUACAUAUUGCAAAUUAUUCUUUAUAGCCUGCAUGGGGAAUCUCCUGCCCAAGGACCAACUUGGCCCGUGAGGUCAUCCCUGUCUUUGUUUUGACAUAUCAUCAGAUGUAGAGCAGGGGAAGCCAUUGCUACAAAGGAACAAUGUGGAGUGCACUCCUGAUUGUUCCUCUGCAAGUGGGGACUUGCAUUUGGUGUCAAAAGCAAGCCCCCCUGGGAUAACUCCCCUAAGUGGAGCUGAUCCCUGCUGCAAGUGGGGGUUUGCAUCCAGGACUUUAAAUCCAGAGCCAAAUGCUAGCCUGUGGGAUUGCGAGUUCCUGAUCAGAGCUGGCCCAUGCAAAGGAACAAAGAAUUUUUGCAAAGGGUAAUGUUUCACCUAAUGUCAGAUGAGUGACAGAUGGGCAACCUCAUUCACCUGUCUAGGUAGCCUGCCAACUCAAUACGGUUCUCCCUAAGUGCUUUAUAGUCAAAUAUCGAUUGUGAUGUAUAGGUGCUUUCUGUUGAAACAGUUCUCAGACUACAUAUUUUUAAUUAAACUAGCAUUACAUUCAGAAUAUGGCAUGCUUCUUUUUACUACUAGCAAAAUGGGGAUGGGAAGAAGCCACUAAAGAAACACUAGCAAAAGGUUUUCUCUUUGUUGUGAUGCUCUGGUCUGUUUCCCUUCCCAUCUAGCUCUUAAACCCAGCUUGGUAGCUGGAGAAAAAGAAUGAUUAGGUUGCACAAGUGAAAGGAGAGGAACCACCAGUUCUUUCCUAUAUUCUAUAUUUCCUAUAUCCUAUAUUUUCUAUAUUCCUAUAUUCUAGGCAUCAUAACAAGAACUUACUUUAGU
This is a non-coding RNA of Zootoca vivipara (common lizard), 2253 nucleotides long. The record is from RefSeq and is a predicted model, not a curated record. NCBI's taxonomy places the organism in Eukaryota, Metazoa, Chordata, Lepidosauria, Squamata, Lacertidae.